CCUGCAGGGCUCCGGGCGGCCGUGACCCUGCUGGAGUCCGGGGGGGACCUCCAGCCCCCCGGGGGGUCCCUGCGCCUCCUCUGCCGCGCCUCCGGCUUCAAUUUCGGACAAUUUGGGAUGGGCUGGAUGCGCCAGAGACCCGGGCAGGGGCUGGAAUACGUUGCACAGAUCAACAGCACUGGUGGCAGCACCAUCUAUGCGCCAUCGGUCAAGGGCCGGUUCACGAUCUCCAGGGACAACGGGCAGAGCUCAGUGACGCUGACCAUGAGCAGCCUCAAGGACGAGGAUUCCGCCGUCUAUUUCUGCGCCAAAUCUGAUGAUGGUUAUGUUUAUGGCGCUGCUGUUGUCACUGCAGUUUUGGGUGUCAGCCCCUUUCCUGUCCCCAGCUGUCCCCAGGUGUCCCCAGGUGUCCCCAGCGCCUUCCCCCAGCCCUCCCUGCCCCAGCCCUGCCUCGCACAAAAAAUGAAGGAGACUUGA
Molecule: non-coding RNA, 477 nt
Organism: Motacilla alba alba
Lineage: Eukaryota; Metazoa; Chordata; Aves; Passeriformes; Motacillidae
Source: the annotation of a RefSeq genome assembly